UGGUAGCAAGACAGCGAGUGCUUAGCUGCUGCAGGAAUGCACGAUAGGACAGAGUGUAAUAUCAUUUACAUAAAUCCAAAAGUGAGAUAGGCCCUUCUCAGCCAAUGAGGAAGAAAAGGUCACUGCCACAAAGUGCACACAUUUAGUCACUAUAACCUGAAGAAGAGCUCUGUGGAGCUUGAAAGCUUGUCUCUCCCACCAACAGAAGUUAGUCCAAUAAAAGACAUUACUUCACGCACCUUGUCUCUCUAAUAUCUUGGGGCCAACACAGCUACAACAUUGCAAACAACUAAGACCUAGACAUGAGACUUAACAUUUAACUGCCCAAGCCCAUGCUAUACAACAUCAAGCCAUUUUUAUUGCUACUGUUUCCUUUCUGAUAUACAACAGUGUUUCCAUGAUGGUUCCUGGGUACUGCUCCAGAGUCUGUCAGGGACUAAUUGUCAUGUCUUAGCAAAUUCCUUUUAGGUUAGGAGGAAGUUUUCCUAAUGCCUUGUUUCUCUGAAUUGUACUUCGAUACUUUGCACUUACAUAGUACCUUUCACCUAACAGUCUCAAGCCAUGUUACUUAGGUGAAUAACCAUUAUUGCCAUUUCACAGAUGGGGAAGCCAAAGUACAGGAAUCAGUACCUAGACCUCUUGGCUCCCACUCCCUUGCUCUUACUGUUAACUAAUGCAGCCUCCCUGGAGCUGGGAAGUCAAAGAAAUCCAAAGGAGGUCAAUGAGCAAUAGUUUUCUGCAUGAUGGCACAAAAAUGCUAUACUGGGGCAGUUAAGUCGAAUUUACAAGCUUCUUUGCCGAAAUGGGAGAGUCAUUGUUAUACAAGAGGAACAAGCUGUAGAAAUAUCCUUUAGCAGAA
Molecule: long non-coding RNA, 859 nt
Organism: Chelonia mydas (Green sea turtle)
Lineage: Eukaryota; Metazoa; Chordata; Testudines; Cheloniidae
Exons: 3
Source: RefSeq, a predicted model, not a curated record